This 1660-nucleotide long non-coding RNA is filed under the name Helianthus annuus (common sunflower). Its description in RNAcentral is "hypothetical non coding rna". The record is from RNAcentral. Lineage: Eukaryota; Viridiplantae; Streptophyta; Magnoliopsida; Asterales; Asteraceae.
GGCUCGAAAACUUUCCACCUCCCAGUCUCUCGCUACUCUCUUUGUAUGUAUAUUUUUCUUAUUAUUAUUUAACCCCUAAAAAAUAAUAAUAAAGCCAUGCCCUGUUUUAAGUAUUUUAACUCCAGAUCACCGCUACCCUUUUCGAUUGAUCUGAGCCCCAUAACGCAUGUCGAGGCUCUGCCUGACUAAGUUCAUUGGGGUUCUGUCUCGUGACAUAGGGACAAGGUUGAAUUAGGGGUACUAUACUUACCACGAGUGCAUUAUAUAUUUUUAAUAGCUUAGAAGUUAUACCCAAGAUUUAUACCAGGAGAUUUUCUAGUUGAACCCUAAAGUUACAAAGUAAGUCCAUUCUCUUUUCUCACCAAAACUCUUAAUUAUUAUUUUAUUUUGUCCAAAAGGAAACCCUAAUUGAGACCCCCAAGUAAUCUUGCAUAAACCCUAAAAUUUUCAGAACAAUCAGAAUCAGGAUCAGAGCCCCUAAAACUCAGGGGGGGGGGGUAUUCCCUAGUUAGUAAUAUCCACAUUAUUUGUUGUCGAAAUUGAAUUUUCAUGAACCGCUGACUCACCUGAGCUACAAACACACGUGGCUACCCUAUGAUAGGAUGUGACCCUUCGCGUCACGCGACGCCCAUACAUGACCCCUCGCGUCACGCGAGGGGGUCAAAUUCUUAGUAUAAAUAGAGGGGUUUGGGACUUGAAUUUCUGCGUUUGUUCGACGUAAAAAUUCAUUUUCUACGUUGAGUUAUCUUUUGUUUACUACCAAACACACACAUAAGCUCGAAUUCUGCUACGAUCCCAAGUAUUAACUCGAUCGCUGAUACGAUUCAAUGUCCGAUCGAUUGAAGCUAUCCAAUGGAUGUUUAAGUGCUGCCCACAUUAGGGUUAUGCUUUGUCAUUCGUCGUGAUUCCGACAGGAUGUUUGAGUGUCGCCCGAACUCGGGCUAUACUUUGUCAUUCGUUGCGAAUCCGCUGGAUGUUUAAGUAUCGCACUUUGUCAUUCGUUGUGAGGUUAUCAGGCUUAUCAGUAGGCUAAACUCUACCCCAUACACUUACAAUCAAAGUAGAUGCUAAUUCUCAAAAGAAUUUGAAUCAGGAAGCAUGUUAAAUCAAUACUGCAUGCUUAUAAUGUGAGUCAUUCUCUUUUUACCAAACUUGCUUUCAAAAUCAUGUUUGUUUUCAAAGUUAUAAUUACAGGGAUUAAGUCUUUGUAGUCUUCAUUACAGCCGGUAUGUGGGGUUUUGUAUACAUUACUUGUUAUCCGUCACCAUUGGACAACGGGUUAGCCAAGGGGUGAAAUGACCAUAGUCACAGACACCAUUGGACAACGAGAUAGCCAAUAGGUGGUCGAGUGCCAAAUACCGUGGGUAUAUGGUUGACAUGUAUAAACAUUGUAAUCGCUCUUAAUACUGUAAAUUAUAACUAUGGGUCAUUUUGUGCAAACUGAAUGAACUCACUCAGUAUUUCCUGCUGACAAAAGCUUUUUAAAAUGCAUUUCAGGUAAUUACAGUAGAUUGGAAUAAGAGUUGGAUACGGCAUCAAAAGGCUUACUGAAGUUGCUUGAUUUAUUAAUUAAAUUAAAUUAAGAAAAGUUGUUUUAUGUAAUUGGGUUUAUCCCAUAUGAAAAGCUACCUUUGUUAAACAUGAGUUUAUCCCAUCUCUU